RNAcentral lists this long non-coding RNA (499 nucleotides) under Setaria viridis. RNAcentral's name for it is "long non-coding RNA (SVIR_LNC009271)". The record is from RNAcentral. Lineage: Eukaryota; Viridiplantae; Streptophyta; Magnoliopsida; Poales; Poaceae.
UCACUCCAAACUUGGUUGCGGGGGGAGGAUUAUCAUUAAGAACCUCGCGGGCUGGCACCAUCGGAUCCUCAAGUGAACAAAUUACAUCCCGCAGUAUGGCGGCUACGAGAGUCACUACACCUGUGUCUCCAGUUUCUGUUGGGUCUUCACUUUAAAUCGACAAUAGGUACCAUAGCAGAGUCCAUACCCAAACCCUAAGGUGGAGGCAGCUGCUGAAUAUAUGAGGUUUAGGCAGUGGGGUGGUCUGCUCACGUCACGGUUCAAUCAAGUACUAGGCUUCCCUAUCCCAUACUAGGUACGAGAUUAGUACUUUCAAACACUUGACCACAAACAUCGUCACAUUUUGGCCUUAGCACAUUUAUUACUAGACAGACGGGGCAAUUCCACCGAGUCAUAACCAAAGCCCGACCCCAUCCAUCAUCCUUAUGGUUGUAGUAUAAGUAAGCAAGCAACUCCUAUAACUUGCGAGUGACACGAAAUCACUUGAAUUUUACCGAUU